This is an RNA transcript of Chiroxiphia lanceolata (lance-tailed manakin), 4025 nucleotides long. It is a transcript of the gene named defective in cullin neddylation 1 domain containing 2, with no coding region annotated. The record is from RefSeq and is a predicted model, not a curated record. NCBI's taxonomy places the organism in Eukaryota, Metazoa, Chordata, Aves, Passeriformes, Pipridae. The transcript has 7 exons.
AAAGCAUAAGCUUAAAUCGUCUCAGAAGGACAAGGUCCGCCAGUUUAUGGCCUUUACCCAGGCUGGUGAAAGGACUGCUAUAUACUGCUUAACGCAGAAUGAAUGGAAACUAGAAGUCGCAACAGACAACUACUUCCAGAAUCCAGACUUAUACUACAAAGAAUCCAUGAAAAAUUCAGUAGACAGGAAGAAAUUAGAACAACUGUAUAAUCGAUACAAAGACCCACAAGAUGAAAAUAAAAUUGGCGUUGAUGGGAUUCAGCAGUUUUGUGAUGAUUUAAGCCUGGACCCAGCCAGUAUCAGUGUCCUGGUUGUAGCAUGGAAAUUCAGGGCAGCUACUCAAUGUGAAUUCAGUAAAAAGGAAUUUGUUGAUGGUAUGACAGAGUUGGGGUGUGACACCACAGAAAAACUAAAAGCUCUAUUGCCAAGACUUGAACAAGAGCUAAAGGAUCCAACAAAGUUCAAAGAUUUUUAUCAGUUUACUUUUAACUUUGCUAAAAACCCUGGACAAAAAGGUCUAGUUGCCUGGGAUCAAGCAAGAGAUGAAAGAUGAGGAGGGCAUUCAGACUGAAUCAAAUAUUACCUCAAGGCCAGAAGAAUGACUCUCUUUGCAUCCGAUUUAGAAAUGGCAAUUGCAUAUUGGAAUUUAGUCUUGUCAGGAAGGUUUAAAUUUCUAGAUCUUUGGAAUAAAUUUUUGUUGGAACAUCAUAAAAGAUCAAUUCCGAAAGAUACUUGGAAUCUUUUGUUAGACUUCGGUAAUAUGAUUGCAGAUGAUAUGUCCAACUAUGAUGAAGAAGGGGCGUGGCCUGUUCUAAUAGAUGAUUUUGUGGAAUAUGCACGACCAAUAGUCACAGGAGGAAAACAUAAAACUUCCUAACCCCAGACAUGUCAAUAUGGACUAAACAGGCUCUCUGAACUGCACUGGGUGAUGAAGAUUUGUUAACUGAAAACUGUGCACAUUUUUGCUGGUUUCAGUGGUCGUGAUGACAUUUUGCAGACAAAACUGAAAUUCUUCCUUUCUACCUAAAGAAUAUGAUGGCUGACUUGUGGACACUUCAAGAACAAACUCAGAAGAUAGUUCAGGCUGUUUGUAGGCUAUUGGCUUCAAUUAUUGUACUGGUUAUAUCAUAUAGGAUGUAGAUUUUGCAUGAUUUUAUACUUUGGAGAAGUUUAACUAGAGGCCAUUUUAUUAAAGUUUUGACAGCACAGCAUGCCAUUCAGUUCAUGAUCCAAAGUGAACACCAGCAGUUACAUAAACAAAACUGUAUUAUAUUGUACUUAUAUUAAAAGCAGUAUUUGUGGUAUAUAAAUUAAAUCCCUAAAUAAAACUUAUGCAGUAUGUUGUAUUUUUAUAAAAGUUAGUUCCAUGGAUCUGUCCUAAUAUGGAAUUGUAACAAAACAAAAACAAACAAACUCACUUAUGUUUUUGGGGAUUUUUUUAACUUGUUGCCCAAACUUACAGUUUUUACUUUUAAGUCCUGGAUGUGCGUGUAGAUUGAUUAUAUCCAGCCUUUUGUUUUCUCCCAAUGAGAUUAACUUCCUCAUUACUCUUCUUGAAGUGCUUGGACAUGUAGGAGUAGCAUUGCUGAGGACAGGCUGCUGCUCUGUGCUCUGUUGCACCUCCAGUUUUUUUUUAUUAACCGUUUUAAUGUAGACAUUAAACAACCAAAGAUGCUUUUAUAAUUCAUGUUUGAUUAUCUUAAUUCAGUUAGUCUUUAGUUAUGUGUUCUAUUUAUUUUUAAUAAGGAACUGGUGGAAUGUGGAUUUUAUUUAUAGAUUGAGACAUACCAUAAACUCUUAACUAAAUGCAACAUAGUUAUAAAUGCAAAUCCUGGCCCUUCUCAUGGAAAAUAUGUGUGAGUAAGCCCAAAGACUUAACUAGUUGGCUUCUAUGUUGGAAAAAGCUAGGGGUAAGGAGACUUUAUAUUAAUGAUUAUAAGUAUUCAUGCCUCUGGAUGUAUUGUGCAUUCUAUUUUAUAUAUUUAAGAGGGGGGAGGAAGAGUAAAUUGAUGCAGUUUCAGUGAUCUCAAGGCUGGUGGAAUUGGACCAGUUUUCACCAAAUCUGAAUUUGUUCAGUCAUUUGUUUCUCCCCUUAUGCCAACAAUUGAUUAUAAAGUGUACAGAGGUCAGUCUCCUCUUCCUCAGAAGUGUCUUCCACUGUCUAAGCACAAAAAAGUUUUACCAGAAACUAUUCAGCAUGUCUUCACACAUGCUCUUUCAAAUGCUACCUCAUCAAAAUAAGUUUGUCAUAGCCACUGUAAAAGUUUGUUAAAAUGAAGUGUUGCUAAAGAGUGUGUACAGCUAUGAUCAGUAUAUUUUCUGUAAUCAGAGCUGAAUAGGUGCAAGAAUUUUGGAGAAAAUAGUGCAUUAAGUUAUUUAAAUUAUGUAUGUUUGGAUCACAUGAGAUCACUUAAGCAUUGCAUGACAGCAUACUAUUUUAUUUUGUUGUUGCAAGGGUAUAAAAGCUUGCAAUAUUCUCUUAAACUCUAAUAUUUAGAGUUUCAUACAAGCAGUCAGCUUUCAUUUAUGUCAGUGCAACCUGCAAGAACAACUGUACAUGCUGCAUACAGAGAGAUUGCCUUCGUUCUUCCACUUGAGAGAAUUUCAGUUGUGCAUGAUGUUUAAAAAGCAGUAUUAGGGCAAAUUUGAACAAAUUAGCAAGUUUUCUCUUAGUGAGAGUAUAGCAAGCAAAUUAAAAAUGCCCUGAGAGUAAUUUAUUGUUAGUAUAUUUUUUUCCCUUUGCAGGGCAGCCACCAGGUGUCAGCGUCUCAGCCGGCAGCUGCCUCCUGCUUCUGUGUAAAGUUAGCCAGGAGGGUUAAGCCCAAUUAUUACUUCCUGCCUACAUCUUUUUAGAAGGGCAUUUUGUACAUAACUUCUAUAGAAGUCAAUGGGGAUUGAAAAGUAGUGUUAUGCUCUUUUAAAUAGAUUUGAUUUAUCUACAUUUCUGUCCCAAAACAAACCACUUCUGUAUCAGUCUCAUAGACUUUGGCGAAUAUGUAACAUCUUGUAGCAUCAAGUGCAUUUAUCUAGCCAAAAGUGAUAGAAUGCUUGUUAUUCACAAUUGACACUUAAAAUGUAUAGCUAUAAUAUAACUGCACAGAAGUAGUUUAAUCUAUCAGUAUGUGGUGCAACUCAAGUUUCAUAGUGCUAGAGCUUGUGAAACAUUUGUUCAUGCUGAGAGUUCCUUCAAAUCAAUCUGAUGAACCUUUUACCUUUCAAAAUAAAUAGAGCAUAAAAAAGGCAUGAGAAUUGAGGGGUUUUUGCCUUGUUAAUCUAAGCAAGAGGGAAGGUGCUUAGCACAAUAAUCAGUUUCUAUAUAUAUACUUUUACUCACUUUUAAGCCUCCUUCCUGUGAGGAUCCUUCAUGGGAAACAACCUUCCAACCCAGGAGGAGUGGGUAAAAUAUCUGAAGAUAGGAGUUGCUUCUUAUCAGCCAGCUUCUGAGGUGUAGUCUUCUUUUUCUUUUGUUCUUCCUGGUAUUCUAUCCCUUUAAAACCACAUAUGCUUUUUGCAUUCCCAUACAUAAUAGCAUGGAGUAAUACCUUCACACUUGAUCAUUAAAAAUACAAAUAAAUUGCUUUGAAAUUAUGAGUUUCUUAUGUAUUUUAAUAAUUAUCUGCUAUCCACAGUUCCGCUUUACAGGGCACUCUGACUUGCUUUUUAAGUAAGCUGAUACAGUGGUAACACCUAGGCUGUUCAAUUUAUAAUCAUAAAUGGUACAGAUGUCUUCAAGUUGUUCGGUGCAUACAGUAUUACUUCACAGAUAUGCUGUAUGAAUUUUUAAAGUUGGUGCCAAGUUGUUUGGUUUUACAUCCUAGAGGGUUUGAAACUGAGCCAUAGGAUUUGUACUUGCCAAUUCUAAAUUUAAAUGUAAUUUAUCAUGUGUGUCAUGCCAAGGAGAGCAAACCUGCAGGCAUCUGCUCAUUCAAUGCACCUGGGAGAUUUGCUGCUGAGUAAGCUGUACGUGUGUAAAUUUUGUGGCAAUGGAAAAAGGAAUAAAUGGACUGUCAACAUAAAUGAUUGAA